CCUACGGGAGGCAGCAGUGGGGAAUAUUGCACAAUGGGGGAAACCCUGAUGCAGCGACGCCGCGUGAGUGAAGAAGUAUUUCGGUACGUAAAGCUCUAUCAGCAGGGAAGAAAAUGACGGUACCUGACUAAGAAGCCCCGGCUAACUACGUGCCAGCAGCCGCGGUAAUACGUAGGGGGCAAGCGUUAUCCGGAUUUACUGGGUGUAAAGGGAGCGUAGACGGCAGCGCAAGUCUGGAGUGAAAUCCCAUGGCUUAACCAUGGAACUGCUUUGGAAACUGUGCAGCUAGAGUGCAGGAGAGGUAAGCGGAAUGCCUAGUGUAGCGGUGAAAUGCGUAGAUAUGAGGAGGAACACCAGUGGCGAAGGCGGCUUACUGGACUGUAACUGACGUUGAGGCUCGAAAGCGUGGGGAGCAAACAGGAUUAGAUACCCCUGUAGUC
This 440-nucleotide ribosomal RNA is filed under the name uncultured bacterium. Its description in RNAcentral is "partial 16S ribosomal RNA". It matches the Rfam family "Bacterial small subunit ribosomal RNA", at positions 338 to 795 of the family's 1533-position model. The record is from RNAcentral.